UGCAAGUCGAGCGGACAGAAGGGAGCUUGCUCCCGGAUGUUAGCGGCGGACGGGUGAGUAACACGUGGGUAACCUGCCUGUAAGACUGGGAUAACUCCGGGAAACCGGAGCUAAUACCGGAUAGUUCCUUGAACCGCAUGGUUCAAGGAUGAAAGACGGUUUCGGCUGUCACUUACAGAUGGACCCGCGGCGCAUUAGCUAGUUGGUGGGGUAAUGGCUCACCAAGGCGACGAUGCGUAGCCGACCUGAGAGGGUGAUCGGCCACACUGGGACUGAGACACGGCCCAGACUCCUACGGGAGGCAGCAGUAGGGAAUCUUCCGCAAUGGACGAAAGUCUGACGGAGCAACGCCGCGUGAGUGAUGAAGGUUUUCGGAUC
RNAcentral lists this ribosomal RNA (378 nucleotides) under Bacillus sp. LT27. Its description in RNAcentral is "bacterial SSU rRNA". It matches the Rfam family "Bacterial small subunit ribosomal RNA", at positions 56 to 424 of the family's 1533-position model. The record is from RNAcentral. Lineage: Bacteria; Bacillati; Bacillota; Bacilli; Caryophanales; Bacillaceae.